AUUGAACGCUGGCGGCAGGCCUAACACAUGCAAGUCGAACGAGUGGCGGACGGGUGAGUAAUGUCUGGGAAACUGCCCCAUGGCGGGGGUUAACUACUGGAAACGGUAGCUAAUACCGCAAACCAUCGGAUGUGCCCAGCUGGGAUUAGCUAGUAGGUGGGGUAAUGGCUCACCUAGGCGACGAUCCCUAGCUGGUCUGAGAGGAUGACCAGCCACACUGGAACUGAGACACGGUCCAGACUCCUACGGGAGGCAGCAGUGGGGAAUAUUGCACAAUGGGCGCAAGCCUGAUGCAGCCAGGCCGCGUGUAUGAAGGAGGCCUUCGGGUUGUAAAGUACUUUCAGCGAGGAGGCGUUACUCGCAGAAGAAGCACCGGCUAACUCCGUGCCAGCAGCCGCGGUAAUUC
RNAcentral lists this ribosomal RNA (406 nucleotides) under uncultured bacterium. RNAcentral describes it as "partial 16S ribosomal RNA". It matches the Rfam family "Bacterial small subunit ribosomal RNA", at positions 30 to 526 of the family's 1533-position model. The record is from RNAcentral.